This 508-nucleotide long non-coding RNA is filed under the name Nicotiana benthamiana. RNAcentral describes it as "long non-coding RNA (NBEN_LNC014043)". The record is from RNAcentral. Lineage: Eukaryota; Viridiplantae; Streptophyta; Magnoliopsida; Solanales; Solanaceae.
AUUUGGAUGGGGACCAAGGACUUGCAUUGGCCAAAAUUUUGUAAUGAUAGAAGCAAAGGUUGCUCUCUCCAUGAUACUAAAGCAAUUCUCCUUCAAGCUCUCACCAACCUAUGCUCAUGCUCCUUAUACGGUUAUGACUCUUCAACCACAACAUGGAGCGCAGAUCAUGUUUCACUUGCUUAAUUAGGAUACAUCCAUUAUGCUCAUGCUCCUUAUACUGUUAUGACUCUUCAACCACAACAUGGAGCGCAGAUCAUGUUUCACUUGCUUAAUUAGGAUACAUCCAGUUAUUAUGUAUUGAAGUUUCUCAUAAAAUAAGAAAAAAUCAUGUCUGAUAUUUUCUCUUCCGUGUAGAUGAGCUUAUGAAUUGAGUGUGUCAAAAUAAAGGUAGUCCUUGAUAUCAAAUGAAAAGAGUGGUUAAGCAAUGACAGCAUACAAGAUAAUUUGUCCCCUUCGUCGUUACUUAUUUGUUUAUCUCAAAGACCAGAAGCUGGAAAUAUCGGUUUUA